AGCAGCCGCGGUAAUUCCAGCUCCAAUAGCGUAUAUUAAAGUUGUUGCAGUUAAAAAGCUCGUAGUUGAAUUUCGGGGUUCUACCGUUGGUCGGGCUAACCAGUCUGUACUAGCGUGUAGAAUUCCUACCUUCUGGGGAACCAUCAUGUUAUUAAUUUAGCGUGGUGGGAAACCAGGACCUUUACCUUGAAAAAAUUAGAGUGUUCAAAGCAGGCUUACGUCUGAAUACAUUAGCAUGGAAUAAUAAAAUAGGACGGUGGUCCUGUUUUGUUGGUUUCUGAAUCACCGUAAUGAUUAAUAGGGAUAGUUGGGGGGCAUUAGUAUUCAAUUGUCAGAGGUGAAAUUCUUGGAUUUAUUGAAGACUAACUUCUGCGAAAGCAUUUGCCAAGGAUGUUUUCAUUAAUCAAGAACGAAAGUUAGGGGAUCGAAGACGAUCAGAUACCGUCGUAGUCUUAACCAUAAACUAUGCCGACUAGGGAUCGGACGAUGUUAAAUUUUAUUGACUCGUUCGGCGCCUUAC
Molecule: ribosomal RNA, 520 nt
Filed under: uncultured Scutellospora
Lineage: Eukaryota; Fungi; Glomeromycota; Glomeromycetes; Diversisporales; Gigasporaceae
Description: SSU rRNA
Rfam family: Eukaryotic small subunit ribosomal RNA
Source: RNAcentral